GCCUGGGUGGCUCAGUCGGUUGAGCAUCUGACUUCAACUCAGGUCAUGAUCUCAGUUUGUGAGUUCGAGCCCCACGUCGGACU
RNAcentral lists this transfer RNA (83 nucleotides) under Felis catus (domestic cat). It matches the Rfam family "tRNA". Rfam says of the family: Transfer RNA (tRNA) molecules are approximately 80 nucleotides in length. Lineage: Eukaryota; Metazoa; Chordata; Mammalia; Carnivora; Felidae. The record is from Rfam by way of RNAcentral.